AAUAGCGUAUAUUAAAGUUGUUGCAGUUAAAAAGCUCGUAGUUGGAUUUCUGGUUGAAGCGACCGGUCGGGCGUUGAUUCGUCUGCACUGGAGUCGGUUUUGGCCAUCCUCUAGGAAAGUGCGUCUGGUAUUAAGUUAUCGGGCGUAUGAUCCUGGUCUUUUACUGUGAAAAAAUUAGAGUGUUUAAAGCAGGCCUUCGCCUUGAAUACAUUAGCAUGGAAUAAUAAGAUAGGACUUUGGUCUAUUUUGUUGGUUUGCAGACCGAAGUAAUGAUUAAUAGGGAUAGUUGGGGGUAUUUAUAUUCCGAUGUCAGAGGUGAAAUUCUUAGAUUUUCGGAAGAUAAACUUAUGCGAAAGCAUUUACCAAGGAUGUCUUCAUUAA
This 381-nucleotide ribosomal RNA is filed under the name uncultured eukaryote. RNAcentral's name for it is "partial 18S ribosomal RNA". It matches the Rfam family "Eukaryotic small subunit ribosomal RNA", at positions 593 to 976 of the family's 1831-position model. The record is from RNAcentral.